Molecule: ribosomal RNA, 456 nt
Filed under: uncultured organism
Description: partial 16S ribosomal RNA
Rfam family: Bacterial small subunit ribosomal RNA
Source: RNAcentral
ACGUACACUCCUACGGGAGGCAGCAGUGGGGAAUAUUGGACAAUGGGCGCAAGCCUGAUCCAGCCAUGCCGCGUGAGUGAUGAAGGCCCUAGGGUUGUAAAGCUCUUUCACCGGUGAAGAUAAUGACGGUAACCGGAGAAGAAGCCCCGGCUAACUUCGUGCCAGCAGCCGCGGUAAUACGAAGGGGGCUAGCGUUGUUCGGAUUUACUGGGCGUAAAGCGCACGUAGGCGGACUAUUAAGUCAGGUGUGAAAUCCCGGGGCUCAACCCCGGAACUGCCUUUGAUACUGGUAGUCUUGAGUUCGAGAGAGGUGAGUGGAAUUCCGAGUGUAGAGGUGAAAUUCGUAGAUAUUCGGAGGAACACCAGUGGCGAAGGCGGCUCACUGGCUCGAUACUGACGCUGAGGUGCGAAAGCGUGGGGAGCAAACAGGAUUAGAAACCCUAGUAGUCCCAUGAU